AUACUUACCUGGCAGGGCGAUUCCAUGAUGACAAAAGUUUUUUCCCCAGCGUGAGGCUCCCCCAUCGCACUCCGGACGUGCUGACCCCUGCGAUUUCCUCAAAUGUGGGAAACUCGACUGCAUUAUUUAUGGUAGUGGGGGACUGCGUGUGCAUUAUCCCCUA
Suncus etruscus (white-toothed pygmy shrew) is the source of this 163-nucleotide small nuclear RNA. RefSeq annotates it as U1 spliceosomal RNA. The transcript has a single exon. NCBI's taxonomy places the organism in Eukaryota, Metazoa, Chordata, Mammalia, Eulipotyphla, Soricidae. The record is from RefSeq and is a predicted model, not a curated record.